AUACCUGGGAGGGGAGACGCCAUGACCAUGAAGGUGGUUUUCCCAGGGUGAAGCUUAUCCAUUGCUCUCCGGAUGUGCUGACCCCUGCGAUUUCCCCUCGACUGAUAAACUUAAUAAACAGUUCUGAUCAGUAGUGUUUG
This 140-nucleotide small nuclear RNA is filed under the name Peromyscus maniculatus bairdii (prairie deer mouse). RNAcentral describes it as "U1 spliceosomal RNA (ENSPEMG00000003662.2)". It matches the Rfam family "U1 spliceosomal RNA". Rfam says of the family: U1 is a small nuclear RNA (snRNA) component of the spliceosome (involved in pre-mRNA splicing). Its 5' end forms complementary base pairs with the 5' splice junction, thus defining the 5' donor site of an intron. Lineage: Eukaryota; Metazoa; Chordata; Mammalia; Rodentia; Cricetidae. The record is from RNAcentral.